Theobroma umbraticum is the source of this 1751-nucleotide RNA transcript. It is a transcript of the gene named NDH-dependent cyclic electron flow 1, with no coding region annotated. The record is from RefSeq and is a predicted model, not a curated record. NCBI's taxonomy places the organism in Eukaryota, Viridiplantae, Streptophyta, Magnoliopsida, Malvales, Malvaceae.
ACCAGGAAAGAAAAUACAAACCAAACUGAAGAAAAGAAAAGCUACACACACGUACAGGAAAAAAAAUUCCAUGGCUGCUACUCUGUUGCCCAAAACUGUUUCUCCAAUCCUUACAAACCCACCUUCAAUUCCUUCUGGCCAAUUCACCACCAAGCCACCAUUUUUUAGCCCACUUGGCCUCUCUCCAUGCACCAAAAGACUAAGUGUUCAAACCAAUGCUAAGAAAAAGAACCCAUGGCUAGACCCUUUUGAUGAUGGGGAGGACCCCAACAUGGAGUAUGGUUCGUUGUUUACUGAUGGUAAGCAAGAAGAAGAUCCUAGACCACCUGACAACCCGGAUAACCCUUAUGGGUUCUUGAAAUUCCCAAUGGGAUUCACUGUGGAGCUGGCUUCGUUGCCUUUGAAAAUAAGAGGUGAUGUUAGGAGAUGUUGCUGUGUGAUCUCUGGUGGUGUCUAUGAAAACUUGCUGUAUUUUCCUGCUAUUCAGUUGAUCAAGGACAGAUACCCUGGUGUUCAAGUGGAUGUAUUGGCAUCAGAAAGAGGAAAACAGACUUAUGAGUUGAACAAGAAUGUGAGAUGGGCUAAUGCUUAUGAUCCUGAUGAUGAGUGGCCUGAGCCUGCUGAAUACACUGACAUGGUUGGACUUCUUAAGAAUAGGUAUUAUGACAUGGUUUUGUCAACCAAACUGGCCGGCCUUGGCCAUGCAGCAUUCUUGUUUAUGACAACUGCUCGUGAUAGAGUCAGCUACAUUUACCCAAAUGUGAAUGCAGCAGGAGCAGGAUUGCUUCUAUCAGAAACUUUUACAGCAGAUAGUAUGAAUCUUUCAGAAGGAGGAUAUAACAUGUACCAUCAGAUGGUUGAUUGGUUGGGAAGACCUUUUCGGAGUGUCCCAAGGCACUCUGUUGGCCCACUAAGAGUGUCAAUUUCAAGGAAGCUGAAGGAGGUUGUAGCAGAAAAAUACAGGACUGCAGGUGCAGAGAAAGGCAAAUAUAUUGUGAUUCAUGGAAUAGAAUCAGAUUCAAAGGCUUCAAUGCAGUCUAGGGGUGAUACUGAUAGCUUGCUUCCCAUUCAAGUAUGGGCUGAAAUCGCCAAGGAUAUAAGGGGAUUUAAGCCACUUUUUGUCAUUCCACAUGAGAAAGAAAGAGAAAAUGUGGAGGAGGUAGUAGGAGAUCAUGCUAGUAUUGUGUUCAUCACUACCCCAGGGCAGGAAAUGUGUUUGAUAUGGAACAACAUUAUAUUAAUCACAAGAUUUAUCUUCAAUAUUUGCUUUCAUAUGGUGUGUCACAGUCCACCAACCUAUAAGGUAUUAUCCACUUUGAUCCCUUAGACUUCAUAGUUUUGCUCUACUGAAAGACGUUUUGCAAGUUAAAAAGGAUGUGGACACCUAAAUACUCAAUCGUCCUCUAGCACACAACCGAUGAGGAUUCACUACUGCCCUUUAGGAACCAUGACAACGUGCUUGCUCAACCCAUGUCGUAACAAACAUCUGGUCCUCCAGCAAGAAUAGUUUUUUGAAGAAUCAAACAAGUGAUAAAUAAGAAUGGCGAGUAAAAGACACUGAGAUUCUAACACUGGAGCCUUCAUUCUAUGGUCCAUUUCUGUAGCUGGCUGCUCUCAUAAAUGAUUCAGCUGGGGUGAUUGCUACAAAUACAGCAGCUAUCCAACUUGCAAGUGCACGUGAAAAACCAAGCAUCGGUCUGUUUUGCUCUGAGCAGAAGGGGAAACUGUUUGUUCCCAAUGCAGAAGAGAAG